Molecule: long non-coding RNA, 5452 nt
Filed under: Arabidopsis thaliana (thale cress)
Lineage: Eukaryota; Viridiplantae; Streptophyta; Magnoliopsida; Brassicales; Brassicaceae
Description: long non-coding RNA (ATHA_LNC000247)
Source: RNAcentral
AAUUAUAUACACUACUACUUCUUGAUCUUUUGUACUAUACAAACAUAUGGCUCCAAGAACCUCUCUUGCACUCUUCGUUUCUCUCAACCUCCUCUUCUUCACUUGCACCUCUGCAACCACAGGGACUUGUCCUAUACAGAUCAGUACUUGUGCCAAUGUGCUCAAUCUAGUGGACCUAACAUUGGGAAACCCACCUGUAAAGCCAUGUUGCUCGCUCAUCCAAGGCUUGGCUGACCUUGAGGCUGCGGCCUGCCUCUGCACUGCGCUCAAAGCUAGCAUUCUUGGAAUUGUCAAUAUUAACCUUCCUAUCAAUCUCAGCGUACUCCUCAAUGUUUGUAGUAGGAAUGCUCCAAAGGGUUUCCAGUGCGCGUAAGUUGAAUACCUAUGACAUACCUAUAAAACAAACGAAUCAUACUGAUACUUGAACAUGUUUUCUUAUCUACUUGUUGUUGUUCUAAGGUUUUUUUUUUUCUUGGAUUGUUAAAAAUGAACGUACGUUCUGAUGCAAUAAUGGAAAUGGAGUUGUGUGUAUAAUUGGCAAGUUUAUAUCUACUCCUUCGCUUCGUUGUUCCUUCGUCUCUUCUUUGUAAUUGUGUAUUUCAAAUUUGCUUAAUAAAAAUAUGGGUGAAAGACCUGUGUUCUCCCACAAAUAGAUGGUCUUUCCGCGAAUGUGAAACAAAUGUUUUUUAUCAUUGUUGGUCAACUAAGUAGGUCGUUCGACCCCUACGAAUCCGUAAAUUGAGGAGCAUGCCGCAUAAAGUUUCAUAUAGUACCACAACUACACAAAUUUCAGACCUCGUUCCGAGUUCACACAAAAUAAAAAUUAAAGUUUUGUAUCCCCUAAAUCGAAAGUUCGAGACUUCAGUCCCUUAAAUUCAAAAUUUGUGAUUUAAUAUUGGUUUAAGUCAUAAACCUGAUAAAUCUUUGGCUUUCUUCUUAAUUCGCUGAGGCAAAGUCGAUGAAGACACUGGAUUUCCCUUUUUCUUCUUCUCAGAAUCCUUGUUCAUCAUCUUCAUCUUCAAUUAAAGAUUUGACAGUAGAAGCCAGUUCGUGGAGCCCGAGAGCAUGAUGUUGUUACACAAGAGUAUAUGCCAUAUAUUCUUGGAGGUAUAACCAUAUCCGACAUUGUCAAGUUUAUUCCCAGUACCGUCCCAAGAACUUCCAAAACCCACAUGAACCAAUGUUGAUUGAGAGUCUUUUUAAAUCUCUUGGACAUUUGGCCAGCAACUCCUAAUUUGGACAGUUGGUGCUUCGUCGUUUGGCCAGCCACGGUUUUGAAACCUACUUAGAAGAAGUAGAGAAGAAUAAGCAUGGAUUUUUCAUCAGUUUCUUUAUCUCUAGUUUCCCACAAUGACACUGUUAAUGGAGAUAAAUUAGUACGGAAUACUCGCGUAUAAUAGCCACACUAUAUUUUGUAUGUAUGUAAAUAAUAUUUCUCCAACUUGAUUUCUUGAACCUUUUAAAAUUAAUCAAGUUGUUGACAAAAUAGCUAAUUUUUUUAAAUAUAUGGUACUAAUUAUCACACCCAUAAUAUUUUAGGUCUCGUUUUUUUGAUGCGGAAUUUUUAAUGCAAAUGAUGACUCUUCUCGCAAUUAGUAGUUUUUUGUGUGGGUAAUAUCCAAUAAAACCCUAAGCAUCAUAAGUUGUUUGGUACUAUAGGUUAUGUGAAUAAAUUAUCUUUACAAAUCCCAUAAGUAUCGGGUCAACUUUCAAAAAGUAAAUUAUCUAGCAAAUUCAACUUCGUUUCCACUUGAUGAUUGUUUUUGAUCAUUGACGAUUUAUAUCAUUAUUAUAUGUAUGUAGAUGUAGUCUGAUCGAUAUGAUAUUGUGGUGAUCAUCGUCGCUUGUUACUUAUUCUCCGUUAACCAAACGAUUUCAGAUUUAUGGAAACAUAUAUUUAUACGGUGCCAUGAAAAUGAUUAAUGUUCAUUAAGGAUUAACUUUGCCUUUAUCAACAAGACGGAUGAACACCACAAUAUCAUUACUUGGUUUAAAGUUUAAACAUUGAACCAUAUAUCGUAGUUGUUCAAAAAAAACUAUGUUUAGAAAUACUAUGUUUAUCAAAGUUUAGAAAUACUAUGUUUAUCAAAGAAAAACUAAUUAUAAAAUAAAAGAAAAACUAAUAAAAAACAAUUAACUGAUUCUAUAGUAAAGAAUGAUUUGGCAUGAUGAUUAUCAUACUAUUACAAGCCUGUCGAACGAAUAACUACUAAAUUCUAGAUCUAUCCUCCUAUAGCUUCUGCCCGGGAACCAUAUUUUGGCAUAUGCGACCUUAUUUUAUAAUACGAACAUCGUAAAAAAAAAAAACAAGAAUACACGAUUUGCCUCACACACAAAAAAGAAUCCCACUAAUACACGAAGUUUAUAUGUUAUUGAUUCAGCAAAAGGAUAAAAGGUAGUAUGAUCUUGCACAUACAUCUCCCAUUCAAUAUAAAUCAGAAAAACAUAUUGUACUAAAGAGAAAUAUCGAUGAUGAUUUUGUCGUUAUUACACCUUAGUAUAGAUUUAGAAUAUAUUUGGAUCUAAACCUCACAAUAUAUAUAUUAUUCAUAUUGGAUAUGGCUAUCCUUUCAUAGUUGCAAUUGGCCGCAUAGUAUUCAUAAUUUGUCUUUUCUUUAGGAUGUAAAAUUUGUAUUCAUCCACAAAUCAUUUUCAGAACAAAUGCAUUCUUGUUUUGAAGUUUAAAAAGAGAAACAGAGCUUAAUAGUAAUACAGAAAGUUUUUUAAGUUAGACAAAUUCACUCUAUCAAUUUGACUUUUGAUCUCAAAUUUGUGUUAAAUUUUUUUGGGACAACUCUAACGUUGAAAUCAUACGGCUGAAAUAUCACUCCCAUUUAAAAAUAAUAUUCCAAACUAGUCUAUCUGUCCAUCUUGUAACCCCUGAUAUACGGAAUUAUUUGAUAAGUCCAACCAUUUGAGAUUACAAAAACAAUUAUCACAUGAAAAUGAUAUCAUAACUUUGUCUUCGUGUGAGACUGUGUAGAUUAACUUAUGUUUUAGAAAUAAUUGUUAUAUAAGUCUGCCCCGUGACAAACGGAUUAAUGAAGGAUAAUAAGAUAUGUUCACAUGGCCAACGUGAAAGCAUAAAAAACAAUUAUUUAUUUUUAGAUAUAUUUUAAUUUUAAUUUGAUUUAAAUAUUGUACCUGGUUUUCAAAUAACCACAUCUAAGGCGUUAGCUAGUAAUUUAUGUCAUUGAAAAAAGCCAGAAAGAAACAAAAGAACAUUCUUCAUGUAAUUGGCUUCUGUGAAAAAUGAAUUUAAAAAAAUACUUCUAACAAGUUGAUAAAUAGGUCUGGACAUAAAAAUCGGAACCCGAGUACUCUAAUCGGCGUCAACCUAACAUUUUGAACUGAAUCCCAACCCAAAAAAUUAGAUUUAUCCUACUAAAUCCUAUAUUCCUUAUUUCUUUUACUUAUAAUCCCUAACUUGAACUCCAUCUAAAUCUGAAUCUGAACAUACUCUCAAAAUAAGUACAUACUAAUAACUUUAGACUUGAAUAUCCAAAUUUUUUACUUAAAUACCCGCAAUAUAAGUACAUACACAAAUUUUUAUCCAAAACCUAGAUAUUUACCUAAAUUGUUUUGGGUAUUUGCAUAAUAUUUUGAGUAUUUGUGUACCCAAAAAGAAUCGGGUAUUUAAUAGUUCUAAAAAUUUAUACAUGAUUUUAUCCAAACUCGAAAAAACCAAAACCGAAAUCGAACCAUUUUUAUAUUUACCCUAUUAGAUUUUAUUUUAUUUUUCCUAUUUCGAACACGGAUGGUUCCUACCAGAUUCUGCCCUAAGUUUCUUAAUGUUCAGACCUAUUGAUAAGUAUGAGUUUUAUCAAUGAGCAUCAAGUAAAAGUGAGAGUCUUGAUUCUGCUUUAAAACAUGAAAGUUUUUAUUGUAUAAUAUGGAUAUCGAAGAGGCUAAUUCAGAUAUAUAAAAUUACAUAAUACCUGAUUUAUUAGAGUCCAUAUAAUUUACAUAAGACUUUCCACGACUAAUUUAUAUAGUUAAAAUACUAUAUUUGAUUAUAUUUUUAGUAAUCGUGAAGACUCGUUCAUAUAUUGAUAUACAGUAUAACCUCUAUAAAUUAAUACUCUAUAAAUUAAUAACCUCUAUAAAUUAAUAAAUUAUUCCGGUCCCGAGUUAGGACCAGUGUAAAAAAUGACAUAAAUCGAUAAAUUAAUAAGAUAAUAUUUUUUUUGAAAAUUCUAUGUAAAUCUAUGGUCCUAUCAAUAUCAUAAAUUAAUAAUUGUAUAAAUGUAUCAACUAUAUAUAUAUAUAUAUUAUGUAAAAAAAUUCUUUAUAAUAUAUUUAUUAUACUUUUUUGCUUAAAUUCAUAUUUGUUCUUUGUUUGAUUAUAGUUUUCAUAUUUUACUGUAUCAAAACUUUUAGUGUUGUUUUCUAAACAUUAUUAUUAUGUUUUACUUGUAACUGGUUCUAGAAAUAUAUAUUCUAUAAUGAAGGAAAUCUUAUAGAAAUUUUUAAAAUGUUACCAAAUUAGGAAAAUCUCUCUAUAAAUUGAUAAAUAUUAAUUUAUCGAUAAAUUAAUACCUCUCUAAAUUAAUAAAAUUUCGCAGUCCCAACAUUACUAAUUUAUAGAGGUUUUACUGUAAUUCGUAAAUUUUGAGAGUAGUUUUUAACCAACUUACACCACCAAUUUAUUAGAGUACAUAUUUUGAUUUUCGAUAUGCAAUCUUGUUACCAACUAAGUUGUUAAUUAGGACCAUAUACUCUUAGAAAUUGCCAGCUAAUUUGAACAAUGACCAUUUAAGUGUUUUCAAAUAAUCAAAUCAUAUCCAUAUAAAAAUAAUUAGUCAACUAAUCCCCUAUUAAGAAAAAUCAACAAUUAAAACAUUCUCAUUUCCUCCUAAUGAAUACCCUAUAAAUACCCACUAAAAACUUACAUUUCUCCCACCAAUCUCAAAGCAAAUUAAAUACACUACUACUUCUUGAGCUUUUAAACUACACAAACAAAUGGCUCCAAGAACCCCCCUUGCACUCUUCGUUUCUCUCAACCUCCUCUUCUUCACUUACACCUCUGCAACCACAGGGACUUGUCCUAAAAAUUCCAUAGAGAUCGGUACUUGUGUCACUGUGCUCAAUCUAGUGGACCUAACAUUGGGAAACCCACCUGUAAAGCCAUGUUGCUCGCUCAUCCAAGGCUUGGCUGACCUUGAGGCCGCGGUCUGCCUUUGCACUGCAGUCAAGGCUAGCAUUCUUGGAAUUGUCAAUAUUAACCUUCCUAUCAAUCUCAGCGUACUCCUCAAUGUUUGUAGUAGGAAUGCUCCAAAGAGUUUCCAGUGCGCGUAAGUUGAAUACCUAUGACAUACCUAUGAAACAAACGAAUCAUACCGAUGCUUGAACAUGUUUUCUUACCUACUUGUUGUUGUUCUAAGAUGUUUGUUUUUUCUUUCUUUCUUGGAUUGUUAAUAAUGAACGUACGACGUUCUGAUGCAAAAUAAUG